GGUGGCACUGCCACAAUGGCGCACCUGGGGACUAGGAGCACGCCGCCGACCAACGAGAUGGAGUCGCCGCCGGUCACCGGAGAUCCGCGCUCUGUUGGGCGGGCAUGUAGCAGAUCUGCGUGCUGGUUCCGCCCAGAGGCUUCCGUGUUGUUAGUUGGUGAGAUGGGGAGCUGGCUCUGCCCAGAGGCCGCCCACCGCUAGCCGCUGUCUUUAGCUAGGGCAAUGGGGAAUGAAACUGGUACAGAGAGGGCUCAAGGGUCCUAUUGGGCGUAUAUUGACGUUGGGGGCCAUCAUAUUUGAAAUAACAAAUAGUGACGCUCCACAGCCAUCACAUAAAG
Molecule: long non-coding RNA, 338 nt
Filed under: Setaria viridis
Lineage: Eukaryota; Viridiplantae; Streptophyta; Magnoliopsida; Poales; Poaceae
Description: long non-coding RNA (SVIR_LNC007901)
Source: RNAcentral